UACGGAGGGUGCAAGCGUUGUCCGGAAUCACUGGGCGUAAAGGGCGCGUAGGCGGCUCAUGAAGGCUGUGGUGAAAGUCCGGGGCUCAACCUCGGAUCGGCCGUGGCGACUCGUGGGCUGGAGCACUGUAGAGGCGGGUGGAAUUCCGGGUGUAGCGGUGGAAUGCGUAGAGAUCCGGAAGAACACCAGUGGCGAAGGCGGCCCGCUGGGCAGUGGCUGACGCUGAGGCGCGAUAGCGUGGGGAGCAAACAGG
This 253-nucleotide ribosomal RNA is filed under the name uncultured bacterium. Its description in RNAcentral is "partial 16S ribosomal RNA". It matches the Rfam family "Bacterial small subunit ribosomal RNA", at positions 524 to 776 of the family's 1533-position model. The record is from RNAcentral.